This 668-nucleotide transfer RNA is filed under the name Roholtiella bashkiriorum RU6. RNAcentral describes it as "16S-23S ribosomal RNA intergenic spacer". The stretch from base 277 to 349 matches the Rfam family "tRNA". The record is from RNAcentral. Lineage: Bacteria; Bacillati; Cyanobacteriota; Cyanophyceae; Nostocales; Fortieaceae.
UUUAGGGAGACCUAAUCCACUCGAAUAUCGAAAAACAAUCAGUUAAAUAGAUAUUGAGUUGGUCUAUCCUAGGUCGGUCGCAGAGAUUGUUGAGGCUUUCAAACUAUUAUGAGGUUCUUUGUGGGCUAUUAGCUCAGGUGGUUAGAGCGCACCCCUGAUAAGGGUGAGGUCCCUGGUUCGAGUCCAGGAUGGCCCACCUGAAGCAAGUCAAAAGUUAAAAGCCAAAAGUCAAAAGUAAAGUGUUGAUUUUUGAAUUUUGAAUUUUGAAUUGUUGAUGGGGGUUUAGCUCAGUUGGUAGAGCGCCUGCUUUGCAAGCAGGAUGUCAGCGGUUCGAGUCCGCUAACCUCCACCUGCUGUACUGUGACAGUUUCGAAAGUGAAUAUAUCGAUAGUAGUCAAAAGCGAAAAACGAUAGAAUACUUUUUGUGGCGGAGCAGACAGUGUGAUAAAAUUAAAGAUUGUGGAUAAAUUCAGCAAUUGACAGCAAACAAAGUCAAACUGCUGGAAGAAUCCAGCCAGAACCUUGAAAACUGCAUAGUAACGCGAAAAAAAGCAGGCAGACGAAUCGGAGUGCUGAGUGCCAAGUGAUGAGUGCUGAUUUUAAUCAGUGUGAAUUACAAAGUAAACAGAACUUGGAAUAAGUUUGCAGUGGUGAAACCAAUGGAUUGU